AGUGGCGAACGGGUGAGUAACACGUGAGCAAUCUGCCCUUGACUCUGGGAUAACUGCGGGAAACUGUAGCUAAUACCGGAUACGACACCUUGGGGCAUCCCAGGGUGUGGAAAGAAUUUCGGUCAAGGAUGAGCUCGCGGCCUAUCAGCUAGUUGGUGAGGUAAUGGCUCACCAAGGCGACGACGGGUAGCCGGCCUGAGAGGGUGACCGGCCACACUGGAACUGAGACACGGUCCAGACUCCUACGGGAGGCAGCAGUGGGGAAUAUUGCACAAUGGGCGAAAGCCUGAUGCAGCAACGCCGCGUGAGGGAUGAAGGCCUUCGGGUUGUAAACCUCUUUUAGCAGGGAAGAAGCGAAAGUGACGGUACCUGCAGAAAAAGCACCGGCUAACUACGUGCCAGCAGCCGCGGUAAUACGUAGGGUGCAAGCGUUGUCCGGAAUUAUUGGGCGUAAAGAGCUCGUAGGCGGUUUGUCGCGUCUGCUGUGAAAAUCCGAGGCUCAACCUCGGACCUGCAGUGGGUACGGGCAAGCUAGAGUGCGGUAGGGGAGAUGGGAAUUCCUGGUGUAGCGGUGGAAUGCGCAGAUAUCAGGAGGAACACCAAUGGCGAAGGCACAUCUCUGGGCCGUAACUGACGCUGAGGAGCGAAAGCGUGGGGAGCAAACAGGAUUAGAUACCCUGGUAGUCCACGCCGUAAACGGUGGGUGCUAGU
This 711-nucleotide ribosomal RNA is filed under the name uncultured bacterium. RNAcentral's name for it is "bacterial SSU rRNA". It matches the Rfam family "Bacterial small subunit ribosomal RNA", at positions 94 to 820 of the family's 1533-position model. The record is from RNAcentral.